AACGAACGCUGGCGGCAUGCCUAACACAUGCAAGUCGAACGAGACCUUCGGGUCUAGUGGCGCACGGGUGCGUAACGCGUGGGAACCUGCCCUUAGGUUCGGAAUAACUCCCCGAAGGGGGGCUAAAACCGGAUAAUGUCCUCGGACCAAAGAUUUAUCGCCUUUGGAUGGGCCCGCGUUGGGUUAGCUAGUUGGUAGGGUAAAAGCCUACCAAGGCGACGAUCCAUAGCUGGUCUGAGAGGAUGAUCAGCCACACUGGGACUGAGACACGGCCCAGACUCCUACGGGAGGCAGCAGUGGGGAAUAUUGGACAAUGGGCGAAAGCCUGAUCCAGCAAUGCCGCGUGAGUGAUGAAGGCCUUAGGGUUGUAAAGCUCUUUUACCCGGGAUGAUAAUGACAGUACCGGGAGAAUAAGCUCCGGCUAACUCCGUG
RNAcentral lists this ribosomal RNA (432 nucleotides) under uncultured bacterium. Its description in RNAcentral is "partial 16S ribosomal RNA". It matches the Rfam family "Bacterial small subunit ribosomal RNA", at positions 29 to 507 of the family's 1533-position model. The record is from RNAcentral.